UACGUAGGGUGCAAGCGUUAUCCGGAAUUAUUGGGCGUAAAGAGCUCGUAGGCGGUCUGUCGCGUCUGCUGUGAAAACCGGAGGCUCAACCUCCGGCCUGCAGUGGGUACGGGCAGACUAGAGUGCGGUAGGGGAGAUUGGAAUUCCUGGUGUAGCGGUGGAAUGCGCAGAUAUCAGGAGGAACACCGAUGGCGAAGGCAGAUCUCUGGGCCGUAACUGACGCUGAGGAGCGAAAGCAUGGGGAGCGAACAGG
RNAcentral lists this ribosomal RNA (253 nucleotides) under uncultured bacterium. Its description in RNAcentral is "partial 16S ribosomal RNA". It matches the Rfam family "Bacterial small subunit ribosomal RNA", at positions 524 to 776 of the family's 1533-position model. The record is from RNAcentral.